CAAAUCUCCUCAAGACACCGGAUUAAAGAAGGAAAAGGUUUAUUUGGCCAGGAGCGUCAGCAGAUUUGUGUCUUAAGACCCGAGCUCCCCGAAAAAGAAAUUCUUGGCCUUUUUAAAGGCUUACAACUUUAAAGGGUCCACGUGAAAGUGUCGUGAUAAAUCGAGCAAGCAUGGGGAAGGUGAGUGGGGGCUACAUGCAUCAGCUAACAGAACAGAAAGCUUUGCAAUGCUUUUUCAUACAAGGUCUGGAAUUUACAGAUAACACAAGUAGUUUAGGUCAGGGGUUGAUGUCAUUAUUAUUAUUAUUUUUAACUCCUGUGGCAGGUGGUGGUGCCAAGGUGUCUGGCUACUUAUCUUACUUUUGUUUCUAAAUUUUUGCUUUCUCUCUUUCCUCCUGUCUUGUGAACUAGGCAAGAUGGUGGGAGGAGGGCAGCCGGAGUAGUAGUGGUCUCCUUCGUUAGUUCAGGUUCCAGCUACAAACACUUACCACCUGUGAGACCUUGGGCAGUUCACAUCCCCUCUCUGUGGCUCAGUCUGCUCAACUGUAAAAUAGGUUAAAUCCUGAAAGAUCAAAA
RNAcentral lists this long non-coding RNA (575 nucleotides) under Homo sapiens (human). RNAcentral describes it as "HSALNT0229337". The record is from RNAcentral. Lineage: Eukaryota; Metazoa; Chordata; Mammalia; Primates; Hominidae.